GACGAACAGCAAAUAAACGGUCAUCGUCGGGUUCAUCCGCGCCGCCGAUUCCACGGCACAGGCUUGCCGGGCGUUCAGCACAAGACCCUCCUCAUCGAAGCAGGAAGUCUCGUGAAAGAAGAUGUUCCUUCCUGAUUCUUCAAAAAAAUCAGACAAUUUCGCUGCGUUUAAAAAUAGCUUGAGGUACAUUAAAUACGGACAACAUAUUGCUUGGAAAUUUACGCAAAAGUGAAUAAAUCCUAUGCCAUCUGCGGAUGAGGUUUCAUCAUAGCAUCUGAUAUCGUUGAUCGCCGACACGUCGAGGAACGGUAUCCUUUGGAUGAUGUUGUUCUCAGUCGAGAUCAUGAGGAUGAGAAGCACGACGGCGAAGGCGAAGCCGC
Molecule: long non-coding RNA, 380 nt
Organism: Cataglyphis hispanica
Lineage: Eukaryota; Metazoa; Arthropoda; Insecta; Hymenoptera; Formicidae
Exons: 3
Source: RefSeq, a predicted model, not a curated record